UAAACAUACACUUCUGUUGACAUGUGUUAACAGCGACGACAGCUAUGCGGAGCCUACGAUUGACGUAAAAUCAGUGUUUUCCUGCGAAACUGGCCUUGGUGGCGUCGUGGUUAGGCCAUCGGUCUACAGGCUGUGUAUUGUCACCAAGAGAGUCCCACACUUAUUCUGUUAACAUUUGCAAGGAAGCCCCACACCAAAAGAACAAAAGUAAAUUUGGACAUUCAUGGCAACUGAACCAACGGAUGUGGAGUCAUUGAUUAGAUGUCGAAAAUGAGAUUCUGAAGACAAACUAUUAAACAAAUUACAUUGCAUCUUGAUAUUGAGAACAGAAUGAUAGAAAUAAUAGAACAGUUUCAACUGAUAUGUUAAAGAAAAACUGGG
This 381-nucleotide long non-coding RNA is filed under the name Gigantopelta aegis. Its description in RNAcentral is "uncharacterized LOC121389039, transcript variant X2". The record is from RNAcentral. Lineage: Eukaryota; Metazoa; Mollusca; Gastropoda; Neomphalida; Peltospiridae.